Molecule: RNA transcript, 2577 nt
Organism: Dendronephthya gigantea
Lineage: Eukaryota; Metazoa; Cnidaria; Anthozoa; Malacalcyonacea; Nephtheidae
Gene name: copper homeostasis protein cutC homolog
Exons: 10
Source: RefSeq, a predicted model, not a curated record
CGUACCAACACUUGGUGAAAUAAUGGAGGUGUGCGUUGACUCUGUUCUAUCGGCAAAAAAUGCAGAAAAAGGAGGUGCAAAACGUAUUGAGUUAUGUUCUAAUCUGUCAGAAGGAGGCACAACGCCAAGUAUUGGUUUGCUGAAAGUAAUCAAGUGCAAUGUUUCAUUACCUGUUUAUGUAAUGAUCAGACCAAGAGGGGGAGAUUUUCUAUACAGUGACGCAGAGUUUGAAGUAAUGAUCGAAGAUUGUAAAGAACUAAUCAAAGCAGGGGCUGAUGGCGUUGUUUUUGGUAUUCUCACAAAAAAAGGGGAAGUCGAUAUUCCUCGCUGUCAAACCUUAUUAGAUAUCAUCAAGCCGCUUUCCGCGACAUUUCAUCGAGCCUUUGAUAUGGUCUAUGAUCAGAGGUCUUCCUUAGAAGUGAUCAUAAACUUGGGUUUUGAUCGUAUCCUAACGAGUGGGGGCAAGUCUAGCGUACUUGAGGGAGCAUCUCGCCUAAAAAGUCUUGUUAUUCAGGCGGCAACACGGAUUAUCAUAAUGCCAGGUGGCGGUAUAAAUGAAGAUAAUUUAUUAGGGAUAUUGCAAGAGACUGGAGCGAGAGAGUUUCACGGCUCUGCUAGGACUAAUGUUCCUUCCAAAAUGGAGUACCAUAAUACUUCUGUUUCUAUGGGAGGCAUUGGAGACGAGUAUGGACUUCAAGUGGCUAAUCUUGACAGGAUAAAACACCUAACAUCUAAAGCGCAGACAUGUACUUCCAAUGAUUGAAAUGAAAAAACUACAGAACGAAAGUUUUUGAAGAACCCAAAACUUUUGACCUCGAAGAUGUUGUGACUUUGGGGGUGGAAUAUGAUAACAAGUAUAAGAAGUACAAAAUCCCCAUAAUUCUUUAUGAUCUCAGAUCUGAGAUCAAGGAUGUUCAAAGUGAAACAAAUGCGAAGGAUCCGUUCUACAAUGACAUCAUCUAGCUAAGUUCCAAAAACUUGUCAGAGAAGCAAAAAAGGAUGUUAAGAUCAAGUUUUCGAUCACAGGAACGUACUCGGGAGAAAAAGGGAGAAAUCCUGUGCUUGAAAGUCCUCAGCCUAAAAUACCUUGGCGACGUGGAGGAAACAUCCCCUGAAAAUGAUUGUGUGACAUUCUCGAAGAGUUGGCUGCUAAUCAUCGACUAAGAUCAUAGGAUCUGCGGCGAGUGAACUGCGUUAUUCGUGCUUUUGGUGAAUUACUUGUGAACAAUAUAUUCGUUGGGACUUUGUAAUAAAUACCUGGACAUCUUGUUUAUCAAUUUGGAAUUUUGCUCAAUUUAUUUUGGUAUUUGCUGGUGUUUGGCCGUUACUAGUACAUCAGUGCUCGUUUUUCCGUUAACCGCGUGCAACGUGAUUCGACUUUCAUUUGUUGAUUACGAGUCGGCGCGCGUUAAUUAGAAACACCUGGAAUAGGCUGCCAUUGAGAUCUUCGCUGGAACUAAUGUACGAAUUUCAGGUGACGGGCAUAAGUACCUUGGGGGAUAUCUUGGAUCGAUUGACGGAAAAGAUAAGUAUAUUAGUUGUUUAGUUAGUUAACGGUGCAAACAACAUCACGUUGUUAGUGAUAUUGCCAAAUUCCAACCCCAAGCAGCAUACACGGUGUUUGUCUCUGGUUUUCGGCACAGAUUUACUUACCACAUUCGUGCCGUUCUAGGUAUCAAGACCACGAUGCAGCUUGUUCACGACACAAUCAACUUGAAGCUUCUUCCUGCGCUCCUCGAUAACCGUAGCUUGUCCAUCCAUUAGCGACAAUUGGUUUCCCUUCCAGCUCGUAUGGGAGGUCUUGGUAUUCCGAUCUUUACGACAUCUGUGAUGAAGAGCAUUUGAACUCCACAACCAUCUGUCAUGUUCUCUCAAGUAGAAUCAUCGAUCAUGGUACACCAUCAGCAGAACAUGGAGAUUCCAUCCACGAUCUUCGUCGCGAGAUUGCAAAACAACUUCAAGCUAGGAACUCGUUGCUGCUACAGAACUAGGGAUCGAGCAUAGGUGAAGAGCAGAUUCGAGCAAAUGACCUCGCCCAGUUGAAAUGAUCCUCAGCUUGGCUGACAGCUCUGCCACUUGGUGAUGAGGGCUACAUCUUGACCAAGCGUGAGUUAUUUGAUGCAAUCUACAUGCGUUACCUGUGAAAAAUCGUUCAUGGUGGACCAUUCCCUGUCGUGCCUGAAAGGAGGCUUUAUCCAUCGAAGACAUAAAUUAUGAGAUUCGUGAUCCACUUGCUGCUGCUAUCGAUGAUGCUGCUUACGAUGUUUCAAUUGAACAUUCCCUUGCUCCUUUCACUGGCGAAGUUCAUCCAUCCAGUGCAAAUUCAGCCGAUGACGACAGAGUGGACAUUGGUUUCUGGCAGAGAUCUGGCAGAGGUUUCUGGCAGAGAUGUGAACAAACAUUUUUUGAUGUAAGGGUGCGUGUUCGUGGUGCGUGCUCGUGGCAGUCGAAAUUGGAGGACUGCGUCCUUCACAUCAACCAAUGACAUUACUUUGUCUGAAUGGAACUCGAACAUUAGUGAGUCUAGUUGAGCUGUUUUUAUAAAUAGUCUGUAGAACGUUUAUACCUUAGUUUUAA